CCUACGGGGGGCAGCAGUGGGGAAUAUUGGGCAAUGGGCGCAAGCCUGACCCAGCAACGCCGCGUGAAGGAAGAAGGCUUUCGGGUUGUAAACUUCUUUUAAGAGGGAAGAGCAGAAGACGGUACCUCUUGAAUAAGCUCCGGCUAACUACGUGCCAGCAGCCGCGGUAAUACGUAGGGAGCGAGCGUUGUCCGGAUUUACUGGGUGUAAAGGGCGUGCAGCCGGGAGUACAAGUCAGAUGUGAAAUCCCGCGGCUCAACCGCGGAACUGCAUUUGAAACUGUAUUUCUUGAGUACUGGAGAGGC
Molecule: ribosomal RNA, 305 nt
Filed under: uncultured bacterium
Lineage: Bacteria
Description: bacterial SSU rRNA
Rfam family: Bacterial small subunit ribosomal RNA
Source: RNAcentral